AGUAAAGUGGCUGAGUUUAAGCAAUAAACUGUAAAUUUAUUUACGAAAUAAAAAUUUCCUUUACUA
This 66-nucleotide transfer RNA is filed under the name Canthon aequinoctialis. Its description in RNAcentral is "tRNA-Tyr". It matches the Rfam family "tRNA". From Rfam's summary of the family: Transfer RNA (tRNA) molecules are approximately 80 nucleotides in length. Their secondary structure includes four short double-helical elements and three loops (D, anti-codon, and T loops). Further hydrogen bonds mediate the characteristic L-shaped molecular structure. tRNAs have two regions of fundamental functional importance: the anti-codon, which is responsible for specific mRNA codon recognition, and the 3' end, to which the tRNAs corresponding amino acid is attached (by aminoacyl-tRNA synthetases). tRNAs cope with the degeneracy of the genetic code in two manners: having more than one tRNA (with a specific anti-codon) for a particular amino acid; and 'wobble' base-pairing, i.e. permitting non-standard base-pairing at the 3rd anti-codon position. Lineage: Eukaryota; Metazoa; Arthropoda; Insecta; Coleoptera; Scarabaeidae. The record is from RNAcentral.